This 243-nucleotide ribosomal RNA is filed under the name Bulbophyllum complanatum. RNAcentral's name for it is "5.8S ribosomal RNA". The stretch from base 34 to 189 matches the Rfam family "5.8S ribosomal RNA". From Rfam's summary of the family: 5.8S ribosomal RNA (5.8S rRNA) is a component of the large subunit of the eukaryotic ribosome. It is transcribed by RNA polymerase I as part of the 45S precursor that also contains 18S and 28S rRNA. The record is from RNAcentral. Lineage: Eukaryota; Viridiplantae; Streptophyta; Magnoliopsida; Asparagales; Orchidaceae.
UGGGGUGCGGUUGCACGCCAUAUCGAUGUACACGACUCUCGGCAAUGGAUAUCUCGGCUCUCGCAUCGAUGAAGAGCGCAGCGAAAUGCGAUACGUGGUGCGAAUUGCAGAAUCCCGCGAACCAUCGAGUCUUUGAACGCAAGUUGCGCCCGAGGCCAACCGGCCAAGGGCACGUCCGCCUGGGCGUCAAGCGUUGCGUCGCUCCAUGCCAACUCAGGCCCACCGAUGGGUGCGCCGGGUAAA